GCCAUAUCAAGUUAAAAGACCGGUUCUGGUCGGAUCAUCAAAGUUAAGCAACGUAGAGCCUGGUCUGUACCUAGAUGGGUGACUGCUUGCGAAUAUCAGGUACUGUAAGC
Molecule: ribosomal RNA, 110 nt
Filed under: Acanthosepion pharaonis
Lineage: Eukaryota; Metazoa; Mollusca; Cephalopoda; Sepiida; Sepiidae
Source: RNAcentral